RNAcentral lists this unclassified non-coding RNA (516 nucleotides) under uncultured Glomeromycotina. RNAcentral describes it as "SSU rRNA". It matches the Rfam family "Eukaryotic small subunit ribosomal RNA", at positions 591 to 1113 of the family's 1831-position model. Lineage: Eukaryota; Fungi; Glomeromycota. The record is from RNAcentral.
CCAAUAGCGUAUAUUAAAGUUGUUGUGGUUAAAAAGCUCGUAGUUGAACCUUGGGCCUGGCUGGCCGGUCCGCCUCACCGCGUGCACUGGUCCGGCCGGGCCUUUCCCUCUGUGGAACCCCAUGCCCUUCACUGGGUGUGGCGGGGAAACAGGACUUUUACUUUGAAAAAAUUAGAGUGCUCCAGGCAGGCCUAUGCUCGAAUACAUUAGCAUGGAAUAAUAAAAUAGGACGUGUGGUUUUAUUUUGUUGGUUUCUAAGACCGCCGUAAUGAUUAAUAGGGACAGUCGGGGGCAUCAGUAUUCAAUUGUCAGAGGUGAAAUUCUUGGAUUUAUUGAAGACUAACUACUGCGAAAGCAUUUGCCAAGGAUGUUUUCAUUAAUCAGGAACGAAAGUUAGGGGAUCGAAGACGAUCAGAUACCGUCGUAGUCUUAACCGUAAACGAUGCCGACUAGGGAUCGGACGGUGUUAUUUUUUGACCCGUUCGGCACCUUACGAGAAACCAAAGUGUUUGGGUC